UUCUUGGAGAGUUUGAUCCUGGCUCAGGACGAACGCUGGCGGCGUGCCUAAUACAUGCAAGUCGAGCGAAUCAAUAGGAGCUUGCUCCUGUUGAUUAGCGGCGGACGGGUGAGUAACACGUGGGCAACCUGCCUGUAAGACUGGGAUAACACCGGGAAACCGGUGCUAAUACCGGAUAAUCCUUUUCCUCUCAUGAGGAAAAGCUGAAAGUCGGUUUCGGCUGACACUUACAGAUGGGCCCGCGGCGCAUUAGCUAGUUGGUGAGGUAACGGCUCACCAAGGCGACGAUGCGUAGCCGACCUGAGAGGGUGAUCGGCCACACUGGGACUGAGACACGGCCCAGACUCCUACGGGAGGCAGCAGUAGGGAAUCUUCCACAAUGG
RNAcentral lists this ribosomal RNA (383 nucleotides) under Bacillus sp. ISL-40. RNAcentral describes it as "bacterial SSU rRNA". It matches the Rfam family "Bacterial small subunit ribosomal RNA", at positions 1 to 374 of the family's 1533-position model. Lineage: Bacteria; Bacillati; Bacillota; Bacilli; Caryophanales; Bacillaceae. The record is from RNAcentral.